UGGGGAAUAUUGCACAAUGGACGAAAGUCUGAUGCAGCAACGCCGCGUGGAGGAUGACACAUUUCGGUGCGUAAACUCCUUUUAUAUGAGAAGAUAAUGACGGUAUUAUAUGAAUAAGCACCGGCUAACUCCGUGCCAGCAGCCGCGGUAAUACGGGGGGUGCAAGCGUUACUCGGAAUCACUGGGCGUAAAGAGCAUGUAGGCGGAUUGAUAAGUUUGAAGUGAAAUCCUAUAGCUUAACUAUAGAACU
This 250-nucleotide ribosomal RNA is filed under the name uncultured bacterium. RNAcentral's name for it is "partial 16S ribosomal RNA". It matches the Rfam family "Bacterial small subunit ribosomal RNA", at positions 355 to 622 of the family's 1533-position model. The record is from RNAcentral.